UUAUGGUUCUCUCCACCUCUCA
This 22-nucleotide microRNA is filed under the name Mus musculus (house mouse). Its description in RNAcentral is "mmu-miR-6942-3p". Lineage: Eukaryota; Metazoa; Chordata; Mammalia; Rodentia; Muridae. The record is from miRBase by way of RNAcentral.